This 1302-nucleotide long non-coding RNA is filed under the name Macaca fascicularis (crab-eating macaque). Its description in RNAcentral is "lncRNA (ENSMFAG00000050467.1)". Lineage: Eukaryota; Metazoa; Chordata; Mammalia; Primates; Cercopithecidae. The record is from RNAcentral.
AUGUGGAAGGAGAGCUGGCGAAGGGCCUGGUGUACAGUAGGUGGAUGGCAAAUGAGGGCUCCCCCAAGGAACUUGUUUGUGUUCCCUUCAGGUUUUCUGUCCACCUCCAGUCUCCAUCUGGCUGCUCCGUGGUGCCCGGGAGUCUCCAUGGUCCAGUUUCCCCAUCAGUGUCUCUUCCCCCUCCCCCUGCCCCUAUCUGUCUUGGGUCCUGGCGGCCCCGCUGUACCCUGGGUUUCUAUGUUCCGCGCUCCUCUCCCCGUCUCUCUCCGGGUCCUGGCGGCCCCGCUGUGCCCUGGGUCUCCGCUCCCCGUCUCUCUCUGGGUCCUGGUUGCCCACAGCGCCCCAGGAGUCUCCAUGGCUCUGUCUCCCCCUCCCUGUCUCUGGAUCCUGGCUGUUGCACGUUGUUCGCGGGUCUCCAUGGCUCGCUCUCCCCCUCCCCGUCUCUCUCUGGGUCCUGGUUGCCCACAGUGCCCUAGGAGUCUCCAUGGCUCUCUCUCCCACUCCCUGUCUCUGGAUCCUGGCUGUCGCACGUUGUUCGGGGGUCUGUCUCCAUGGCUUGCUCUCCCUCUCGCCGUCUCUCUCUGGGUCCUGGCGGCCACACUGUGCCCUGGGUCUCCGUGGGUCUCUCCUCCCAGUCUCUCUCUGGGUCCUCGUGGACCCUUGGUUCCCCGGGGGGCUCCCUGGCCAGCAGCGCCCUCCGCGCGCCACCUCACCCGCUCCCGUCUCUCCCCAGCAGGUCACAACGCCGACGACAUGGCGGAGACCGUGCUCAUGAAUUUCCUGAGAGGCGACGCGGGGCGGCUAGCCCGGGGCGGGGGCCUGGGCUCCUGGACUAGCGGGACGCCCUGCCGCGCUGCCGCCCACUGCAGUUCGCCUCGCAGAAGGAGGUGGUGCUGUACGCGCACUUCCGCCGCCUCGACUACUUCUCCGAGGAGUGCGUCUACGCGCCCGAGGCCUUCCGCGGCCACUCCCGGGACCCGCUCAAGCGCCUGGAGGCGGCGCGGCGGUCGGCGGUGCUGGACCUCGUGCACUCGGCCGAGCGCCUGGCGCUGGCCCCGGCCGCGCGGACCCCGCGCCCCGGCGCCUGCUCCCGCUGUGGGGCCCUGGCCAGUCGCGCGCUCUGCCAGGCCUGCGCGCUCCCGGCCAUCGGCAAGAGCCGCCGGGGGCUGGACGAGGAGGCGACGCCGGGGACACCCGGGGAUCCGGCCCGGGCCCCCACCUCCGAGACUGUCCCCACCUUCUAGCGACUCCAGGCCUCCCGCCGGGAUCCGACGCCCCCGAGUGGGGGCUGCCUGUAAAUGA